RNAcentral lists this unclassified non-coding RNA (1582 nucleotides) under Bombus terrestris (buff-tailed bumblebee). RNAcentral's name for it is "misc RNA ENSBTSG00005026191.1". The record is from RNAcentral. Lineage: Eukaryota; Metazoa; Arthropoda; Insecta; Hymenoptera; Apidae.
AAGCUCCUUGCCGGCCGGAACAUAUUAAUUCUUAUAAAAACACAAGUUUAUGUCAACUAUCUUUUAUUUUCAUAACACAUGUUCUAAUCACAGAUAACCUAACUGUAUUACUGAAUAGUUUUGCUUCCAAAUUACAUCUAAUCGAUCUAGUUACAUUUAGAGUAUUUUUGUAAAUGUACAUACAUAUAUAAAUUGUAACUGUUAAUUGCAAAUACAAUGUACUUAAUAACUUUUUCUGACAAAUCUGUAAUUUAUUAGUUACUGACUUAUGUGUACGAACACCUACGCUACGCAACUAAUGCAUAAAAUGGUGUAACAUUGUUCUCGGCUUGAAGUUCACAGGUGUAAGGAAGACAGCUGCAUUAUUAGGUGCAAGACCAACCCCUGGUGGAACUGAGGGAACAAGUGAUUCUGAUACUGGUACCAGAGGGAAUUUCAUAGCCAGAAAUUCCGGUGACGUCCCAUCUUCGGAACCAGGACAAAUCAUUUCUCUAAUUACAUCCCAAUACGAACCGUUCGAUCUAUUACGACCGGGUAACUUGGACGCUAAAGAACACUUCAGAUAUCUAUGUAUUUUAUUAUUGUACUCAUAUUUCAAUCGUAUCUUUAUAUACUUACUCUUAAACGUUCAAGAUAAGUCGUAUUAUUGUUAAAGUUGGUAGUGAAAUCAAUACCUCCUUCACUUCUAUAAUAUUCUAUGCAUCUUCUCUGAAAUAAUAGACAUAAAGAUGUAUUAAUUGUCUUGGCUGAAUUAUUAAUUGAAUAGAACUAUGUAAAUGUUUACAAUUUCUUCUAAUGUAUCUUGAGAAAGAAAGUGUUCUUGAGAUAAUGUAUAACUCAAAAGCAUUGGUCUUGGAUAUUCAUGAGGCCGAUUUUCUGGAGGUGGUAAAGACCAGAAAACAUUAAAAUUUGACUCAUAGCAACUGCCAUCUGUAUUAUAAGGAGCUGAAAUCCAUCAUUUUGAAUUCAUUGUACUUAAUCACAAGAUUUUAAACAAUAAAUAAUAUUUUGUCAAAGAAAACAUACAGCAUAUUAAACCUACGCAUGGUGUGUAACCGUUAUCACUAGGUCCUUUCAUUUUUAUUUGAUAAUCUAAUUGAGAAUCAACAUCCCUCAAGGAAGGAGAAGCAUGAGAUCUAGGAUGAGAAUGAUACCAUCCAACUAAAGUCACACGUUUCCAUUCCAUUGCCCUUGCAAUUUCAGCUUCAACUGCAGCUGCAGCUGAUUUAUCUUUACCAGAAUACCGGCAUGGAAAGGCAGUUGUUAUAGAUAGAUCUAUUAUAUUAGAAAAAGUAAGUUUUAGCAACAAAAUAUGUAUUUAAAUUAUAUUAAACAUUACAGAAAUAUUUACUGUGUGAAUUAAUAUCCCAAUGGCCACCUAAGUAGCCACAAACUUCUUUAUCUGUUAAAUGACAAUGCAAAUCUACUAACAAAGCUGCAGUAGUUGUUAUAGUAACUAAGAAAGGUUGUAUUUUGCCAAGUGUGCUAAAAGAUGUAAGCUCUACCAUUGUACUCAUAUCCCUGAAACAUAAGUAAUUAUUAGCAAUGUAAGAAAUUUUCUUGUCUUCUAUCAUUCUCUUAC